CCUACGGGGGGCUGCAGUAGGGAAUCUUUCACAAUGGGCGAAAGCCUGAUGGAGCAACGCCGCGUGCAGGAUGAAGGCCUUCGGGUUGUAAACUGCUUUUAUAAGCGAGAAAUAUGAUGGUAACUUAUGAAUAAGGAUCGGCUAACUACGUGCCAGCAGCCGCGGUCAUACGUAGGAUCCGAGCAUUAUCCGGAGUGACUGGGUGUAAAGAGUUGCGUAGGUGGCAUAAUAAGUAGCUAGUGAAAUCGGGUGGCUCAACCAUUCAGACUAUUAGCUAAACUGUUAAGCUCGAGACCGUUAGGGGUAACUGGAAUGUCUAGUGUAGGAGUGAAAUCCGUAGAUAUUAGAAGGAACACCAAUAGCGUAGGCAGGUUACUGGGACGGUUCUGACACUAAGGCACGAAAGCGUAGGGAGCAAACGGGAUUAGAUACACCAGUAGUC
Molecule: ribosomal RNA, 442 nt
Filed under: uncultured bacterium
Lineage: Bacteria
Description: partial 16S ribosomal RNA
Rfam family: Bacterial small subunit ribosomal RNA
Source: RNAcentral